AAGCCUAAUACUGCAAGUCGAGCGGACAGAAGGGAGCUUGCUCCCGGAUGUUAGCGGCGGACGGGUGAGUAACACGUGGGUAACCUGCCUGUAAGACUGGGAUAACUCCGGGAAACCGGAGCUAAUACCGGAUAGUUCCUUGAACCGCAUGGUUCAAGGAUGAAAGACGGUUUCGGCUGUCACUUACAGAUGGACCCGCGGCGCAUUAGCUAGUUGGUGGGGUAAUGGCUCACCAAGGCGACGAUGCGUAGCCGACCUGAGAGGGUGAUCGGCCACACUGGGACUGAGACACGGCCCAGACUCCUACGGGAGGCAGCAGUAGGGAAUCUUCCGCAAUGGACGAAAGUCUGACGGAGCAACGCCGCGUGAGUGAUGAAGGUUUUCGGAUCGUAAAGCUCUGUUGUUAGGGAAGAACAAGUGCGAGAGUAACUGCUCGCACCUUGACGGUACCUAACCAGAAAGCCACGGCUAACUACGUGCCAGCAGCCGCGGUAAUACGUAGGUGGCAAGCGUUGUCCGGAAUUAUUGGGCGUAAAGGGCUCGCAGGCGGUUUCUUAAGUCUGAUGUGAAAGCCCCCGGCUCAACCGGGGAGGGUCAUUGGAAACUGGGAAACUUGAGUGCAGAAGAGGAGAGUGGAAUUCCACGUGUAGCGGUGAAAUGCGUAGAGAUGUGGAGGAACACCAGUGGCGAAGGCGACUCUCUGGUCUGUAACUGACGCUGAGGAGCGAAAGCGUGGGGAGCGAACAGGAUUAGAUACCCUGGUAGUCCACGCCGUAAACGAUGAGUGCUAAGUGUUAGGGGGUUUCCGCCCCUUAGUGCUGCAGCUAACGCAUUAAGCACUCCGCCUGGGGAGUACGGUCGCAAGACUGAAACUCAAAGGAAUUGACGGGGGGCCCGCACAAGCGGUUGGAGCAUGUGGGUUUAAUUCGAAAGCAACGCCGAAGAACCNUUACCAAGGUCUUUGACAUCCUCCUGAUCACUCCUACGAGAUAGGGUUUUUCCCUUUCCGGGG
Molecule: ribosomal RNA, 1012 nt
Filed under: Bacillus zhangzhouensis
Lineage: Bacteria; Bacillati; Bacillota; Bacilli; Caryophanales; Bacillaceae
Description: bacterial SSU rRNA
Rfam family: Bacterial small subunit ribosomal RNA
Source: RNAcentral